GAGUCGGUAGCUCAGUUGGUAGAGCAACGGACUUUUAAUCCGUGGGUCGCGGGUUCGAGCCCCGCCCGACUCA
Molecule: transfer RNA, 73 nt
Filed under: Periweissella fabaria
Lineage: Bacteria; Bacillati; Bacillota; Bacilli; Lactobacillales; Lactobacillaceae
Also listed under: 1 other name
Description: tRNA-Lys
Rfam family: tRNA
About the family: Transfer RNA (tRNA) molecules are approximately 80 nucleotides in length. Their secondary structure includes four short double-helical elements and three loops (D, anti-codon, and T loops).
Source: RNAcentral